RNAcentral lists this ribosomal RNA (253 nucleotides) under uncultured bacterium. Its description in RNAcentral is "partial 16S ribosomal RNA". It matches the Rfam family "Bacterial small subunit ribosomal RNA", at positions 524 to 776 of the family's 1533-position model. The record is from RNAcentral.
UACGUAGGGUGCGAGCGUUAAUCGGAAUUACUGGGCGUAAAGCGUGCGCAGGCGGCUUUGCAAGACAGAGGUGAAAUCCCCGGGCUCAACCUGGGGACUGCCUUUGUGACUGCAAGGCUAGAGUACGGCAGAGGGAGAUGGAAUUCCGCGUGUAGCAGUGAAAUGCGUAGAUAUGCGGAGGAACACCGAUGGCGAAGGCAAUCUCCUGGGCCUGUACUGACGCUCAUGCACGAAAGCGUGGGGAGCAAACAGG